Long non-coding RNA from Daphnia pulex (common water flea), 238 nucleotides. RefSeq lists it as uncharacterized. The record is from RefSeq and is a predicted model, not a curated record. Lineage: Eukaryota; Metazoa; Arthropoda; Branchiopoda; Diplostraca; Daphniidae. The transcript is spliced from 3 exons.
UGUAUUUCAGGCUUACGACUUUGGACGAAAGGGUAAUCUGCUACGCUACGGAUCAAUUAAACCGUUUGAAUAUCACCUUGGAAAUAUUACAGCUCCGAUUUACGUCUUCUCUGGGGGAAGGGAUCGAUUAGUUACUCCAAUGGACGUGGAUUGGCUACUAUCCAAACUUACGAAUAUGAUAGGCUCUGAGCGUAUUAGUGAUUACAGCCAUUUGGACUUCAUAUGGGUAAAAAAAAAG